Molecule: ribosomal RNA, 449 nt
Filed under: uncultured bacterium
Lineage: Bacteria
Description: partial 16S ribosomal RNA
Rfam family: Bacterial small subunit ribosomal RNA
Source: RNAcentral
AACGAACGCUGGCGGCAGGCCUAACACAUGCAAGUCGAGCGAAGCCUUCGGGCUUAGCGGCGGACGGGUGAGUAACGCGUGGGAACGUGCCCUUUGCUACGGAAUAGCCCCGGGAAACUGGGAGUAAUACCGUAUGUGCCCUUUGGGGGAAAGAUUUAUCGGCAAAGGAUCGGCCCGCGUUGGAUUAGGUAGUUGGUGGGGUAAUGGCCUACCAAGCCGACGAUCCAUAGCUGGUUUGAGAGGAUGAUCAGCCACACUGGGACUGAGACACGGCCCAGACUCCUACGGGAGGCAGCAGUGGGGAAUCUUAGACAAUGGGCGCAAGCCUGAUCUAGCCAUGCCGCGUGAUCGAUGAAGGCCUUAGGGUUGUAAAGAUCUUUCAGGUGGGAAGAUAAUGACUGUACCACCAGAAGAAGCCCCGGCUAACUCCGUGCCAGCCGCCGCGGUAA